Molecule: ribosomal RNA, 463 nt
Filed under: uncultured bacterium
Lineage: Bacteria
Description: partial 16S ribosomal RNA
Rfam family: Bacterial small subunit ribosomal RNA
Source: RNAcentral
GACGAACGCUGGCGGCGUGCUUAACACAUGCAAGUCGAACGGUGAACCUCUUCGGAGGGGAUCAGUGGCGAACGGGUGAGUAACACGUGGGCAACCUGCCCCCGGCUCUGGGAUAACUCCAAGAAAUUGGGGCUAAUACCGGAUGUUCACCGCUUCCCGCAUGGGUGGUGGUGGAAAGGGUUUCCGGCUGGGGAUGGGCCCGCGGCCUAUCAGCUUGUUGGUGGGGUAGUGGCCUACCAAGGCGACGACGGGUAGCCGGCCUGAGAGGGGGACCGGCCACACUAGGACUGAGGGACGGCCCAGACUCCUACGGGAGGCAGCAGUGGGGAGUAUUGCGCAAUGGGCGGGAGCCUGACGCAGCGGCGCCGCGUGGGGGAUGACGGCCUUCGGGUUAUAAACCUCUUUCAGCGGGGACGAAGCGCAAGUGACGGUACCUGCAGAAGAAGCACCGGCCAACUACGUG